UGGGGAAUAUUGGGCAAUGGAGGCAACUCUGACCCAGCAACGCCGCGUGAAGGAUGAAGGUCUUCGGAUUGUAAACUUCUGUCGUAUGGGACGAAGAAUGACGGUACCAUACAAGAAAGCCCCGGCUAACUACGUGCCAGCAGCCGCGGUAAUACGUAGGGGGCAAGCGUUGUCCGGAAUGACUGGGCGUAAAGGGAGCGUAGGUGGUUUAGCAAGUUAUGUGUGAAAGCCCACGGCUUAACCGUGGAACUGCACAUAAAACUGUUGAACUGGAGUACGGGAGAGGUAAAUGGAAUUCCUAGUGUAGCGGUGGAAUGCGUAGAUAUUAGGAGGAACACCAGAGGCGAAGGCGAUUUACUGGACCGCAACUGACACUGAGGCUCGAAAGCGUGGGGAGCAAACAGG
RNAcentral lists this ribosomal RNA (405 nucleotides) under uncultured prokaryote. RNAcentral's name for it is "bacterial SSU rRNA". It matches the Rfam family "Bacterial small subunit ribosomal RNA", at positions 355 to 776 of the family's 1533-position model. RNAcentral also lists the same sequence under 1 other name. The record is from RNAcentral.